This 2010-nucleotide ribosomal RNA is filed under the name metagenome. RNAcentral's name for it is "bacterial LSU rRNA". It matches the Rfam family "Bacterial large subunit ribosomal RNA", at positions 1 to 2046 of the family's 2925-position model. The record is from RNAcentral.
UUAAGUAGUAAAGGGCGCACGGAGGAUGCCUUGGCACUAGGAGCCGAAGAAGGACGUGACAAACGACGAAAUGCUACGGGGAGCUGUAAGUAAGCAAAGAUCCGUAGAUAUCCGAAUGGGGGAACCCACCGCUUUUAAAAGGGCGGUACGCGAAAGCGAGGUAACGCAGGGAACUGAAACAUCUAAGUACCUGUAGGAAGAGAAAGAAAAAUCGAUUUCCUUAGUAGCGGCGAGCGAAAAGGAAGGAGCCCAAACCAAUGUGCUUGCAUAUUGGGGUUGUAGGACUCUCAACAAAGCGUAUGACGAAGUAUAGUAGAACAAUUUGGAAAGAUAGACCGUAGAAGGUAAAAGUCCUGUAUACGAAAUGCUGAGUUGGCGUGAGAGAGCACCUGAGUACGGCGGAACACGAGGAAUUCCGUCGGAAUCUACCAGGACCAUCUGGUAAGGCUAAAUACUACCUAGUGACCGAUAGUGAACCAGUACCGUGAGGGAAAGGUGAAAAGAACCCCGGGAGGGGAGUGAAAGAGAACCUGAAACCGUGUGCUUACAAGUAGUCAGAGCCCUUAAGGGGGUGAUGGCGUGCCUUUUGUAGAAUGAACCGGCGAGUUACUUUAUCAUGCGAGGUUAAGUGGAAGACAUGGAGCCGAAGCGAAAGCGAGUCUUAAUAGGGCGAAAUAGUAUGAUGGAGUAGACCCGAAACCAAGUGAUCUACCCAUGGCCAGGUUGAAGUUUAGGUAACACUGAAUGGAGGACCGAACCAGGACACGUUGAAAAGUGUUUGGAUGAGCUGUGGGUAGCGGAGAAAUUCCAAUCGAACUUGGAAAUAGCUGGUUCUCUCCGAAAUAGCUUUAGGGCUAGCCUCGUUGUGAGUUUACUGGAGGUAGAGCACUGUUUGGACUAGGGGCCCAUCCCGGGUUACCGAAUUCAGACAAACUCCGAAUGCCAGAUAAAUAUCAACGGGAGUCAGACUGCGGGUGAUAAGGUUCGUAGUCGAAAGGGAAACAGCCCAGACCGCCAGCUAAGGUCCCAAAUUGUAUGUUAAGUGGAAAAGGAUGUGAUGAUGCACAGACAACCAGGAUGUUGGCUUAGAAGCAGCCACCAUUUAAAGAGUGCGUAAUAGCUCACUGGUCGAGUGACAUCGCGCCGAAAAUGUACCGGGGCUAAACAUACAACCGAAGCUGCGGAUAUAACUAAUGUUAUAUGGUAGGAGAGCGUUCUAACAUCAUAGAAGCCGAGCUGGAAGGCGAGGUGGAGAGGUUAGAAGUGAGAAUGCCGGUGUGAGUAGCGAAAGAUAGGUGAGAAUCCUAUCCACCGAAUGACUAAGGUUUCCAGAGGAAGGCUCGUCCGCUCUGGGUAAGUCGGGACCUAAGGUGAAGCCGAAUGGUGAAGCCGAUGGACAACAGGUAGAAAUUCCUGUACCACCAAAUAUCGAUUGAGAGAAGUGGGGACAGAGGAGGCUAAUUGAUCGUCCUGAUGGAAUAGGACGUCUAAGCACAAAGGUUGAGUAGUAGGCAAAUCCGCUGCUCAUAAGACUGAAGUGUGAUGGGGAGCGAAAUAUAGUAGCGAAGUCAAUGAAGCCAAACUCUCAAGAAAAGCCGCUAUCGAGAUAAGAGGUGCCCGUACCGCAAACCGACACAGGUAGUUGGGAAGAGAAUUCUAAGGUGAGCGAGAGAACCAUCGUUAAGGAACUCGGCAAAAUGACCCCGUAACUUCGGGAGAAGGGGUGCCUACGAGAGUAGGCCGCAGUGAAUAGGCCCAAGCGACUGUUUAACAAAAACACAGGUCUCUGCAAAACCGAAAGGUGAAGUAUAGGGGCUGACGCCUGCCCGGUGCUGGAAGGUUAAGAGGAGUGCUUAGCGCAAGCGAAGGUAUGAAUUGAAGCCCCAGUAAACGGCGGCCGUAACUAUAACGGUCCUAAGGUAGCGAAAUUCCUUGUCGGGUAAGUUCCGACCCGCACGAAAGGCGUAACGAUUUGGGCACUGUCUCAACGAGGGACCCGGUGAAAUUGAA